RNAcentral lists this ribosomal RNA (715 nucleotides) under uncultivated soil bacterium clone S024. Its description in RNAcentral is "bacterial SSU rRNA". It matches the Rfam family "Bacterial small subunit ribosomal RNA", at positions 62 to 757 of the family's 1533-position model. The record is from RNAcentral.
UCGAACGCGAAAGGGGAGCAAUCCCUGAGUAGAGUGGCAAACGGGUGAGUAACACGUGGGUGACUGCCUUCGAGCGGGGGAUAACGUCCCGAAAGGGACGCUAAUACCGCAUAACAUCCUGGUCUUGGACGACCGGUGAUCAAAGCUGGGGAUUCGCAAGAACCUGGCACUUGAAGAGGGGCCCGCGCCUGAUUAGCUAGUUGGUGAGGUAACGGCUCACCAAGGCAACGAUCAGUAUCCGGCCUGAGAGGGCGGACGGACACACUGGGACUGAGACACGGCCCAGACUCCUACGGGAGGCAGCAGUGGGGAAUUGUUCGCAAUGGGCGCAAGCCUGACGACGCAACGCCGCGUGGAGGAUGAAGACCUUCGGGUCGUAAACUCCUGUCGAGUGGAAAGAAUAGCUUCCGGGCGAAUAUCCCGGGAGCCUGACGGUACCACUAAAGGAAGCCCCGGCUAACUCCGUGCCAGCAGCCGCGGUAAUACGGGGGGGCCAAGCGUUGUUCGGAAUUACUGGGCGUAAAGGGCUCGUAGGCGGCCAACUAAGUCAGACGUGAAAUCCCCAGGCUCAACCUGGGAACUGCGUCUGAUACUGGAUGGCUUGAAUUCGGGAGAGGGAUGCAGAAUUCCAGGUGUAGCGGUGAAAUGCGUAGAUAUCUGGAGGAAUACCGGUGCCGAAGGCGCAUCCUGGACCGACAUUGACGCUGAGGACGAA